Molecule: ribosomal RNA, 491 nt
Filed under: uncultured bacterium
Lineage: Bacteria
Description: partial 16S ribosomal RNA
Rfam family: Bacterial small subunit ribosomal RNA
Source: RNAcentral
AGUGAACGCUGGCGGUAGGCCUAACACAUGCAAGUCGAACGGCAGCACAGUAAGAGCUUGCUCUUACGGGUGGCGAGUGGCGGACGGGUGAGGAAUACAUCGGAAUCUACUUUUUCGUGGGGGAUAACGUAGGGAAACUUACGCUAAUACCGCAUACGACCUACGGGUGAAAGCAGGGGAUCUUCGGACCUUGCGCGAUUGAAUGAGCCGAUGUCGGAUUAGCUAGUUGGCGGGGUAAAGGCCCACCAAGGCGACGAUCCGUAGCUGGUCUGAGAGGAUGAUCAGCCACACUGGAACUGAGACACGGUCCAGACUCCUACGGGAGGCAGCAGUGGGGAAUAUUGGACAAUGGGCGCAAGCCUGAUCCAGCCAUACCGCGUGGGUGAAGAAGGCCUUCGGGUGGUAAAGCCCUUUUGUUGGGAAAGAAAAGCAGCAGGUUAAUACCCCGCUGUUCUGACGGUACCCAAAGAAGAAGCACCGGCUAACUUCGU